This 1525-nucleotide ribosomal RNA is filed under the name Escherichia coli. Its description in RNAcentral is "bacterial SSU rRNA". It matches the Rfam family "Bacterial small subunit ribosomal RNA". Lineage: Bacteria; Pseudomonadati; Pseudomonadota; Gammaproteobacteria; Enterobacterales; Enterobacteriaceae. The record is from RNAcentral.
AGAGUUUGAUCAUGGCUCAGAUUGAACGCUGGCGGCAGGCUAACACAUGCAAGUCGAACGGUAACAGGAAGCAGCUUGCUGCUUCGCUGACGAGUGGCGGACGGGUGAGUAAUGUCUGGGAAACUGCCUGAUGGAGGGGAUAACUACUGGAAACGGUAGCUAAUACCGCAUAAUGUCGCAAGACCAAAGAGGGGGACCUUCGGGCCUCUUGCCAUCGGAUGUGCCCAGAUGGGAUUAGCUAGUAGGUGGGGUAACGGCUCACCUAGGCGACGAUCCCUAGCUGGUCUGAGAGGAUGACCAGCCACACUGGAACUGAGACACGGUCCAGACUCCUACGGGGGCAGCAGUGGGGAAUAUUGCACAAUGGGCGCAAGCCUGAUGCAGCCAUGCCGCGUGUAUGAAGAAGGCCUUCGGGUUGUAAAGUACUUUCAGCGGGGAGGAAGGGAGUAAAGUUAAUACCUUUACUCAUUGACGUUACCCGCAGAAGAAGCACCGGCUAACUCCGUGCCAGCAGCCGCGGUAAUACGGAGGGUGCAAGCGUUAAUCGGAAUUACUGGGCGUAAAGCGCACGCAGGCGGUUUGUUAAGUCAGAUGUGAAAUCCCCGGGCUCAACCUGGGAACUGCAUCUGAUACUGGCAAGCUUGAGUCUCGUAGAGGGGGGGUAGAAGACUUCCAGGUGUAGCGGUGAAUGCGUAGAGAUCUGGAGGUAAUACCGGUGGCGAAGGCGGCCCCCUGCGACGAAGACUGACGCUCAGGUGCGAAAGCGUGGGGAGCAAACAGGAUUAGAUACCCUGGUAGUCCACGCCGUAAACGAUGUCGACUUGGAGGUUGUGCCCUUGAGGCGUGGCUUCCGGAGCUAACGCGUUAAGUCGACCGCCUGGGAGUACGGCCGCAAGGUUAAAACUCAAAUGAAUUGACGGGGCCCGCACAAGCGGUGGAGCAUGUGGUUUAAUUCGAUGCAACGCGAAGAACCUUACCUGGUCUUGACAUCCACGGAAGUUUUCAGAGAUGAGAAUGUGCCUUCGGGAACCGUGAGACAGUGCUGCAUGGCUGUCGUCAGCUCGUGUUGUGAAAUGUUGGGUUAAGUCCCGCAACGAGCGCAACCCUUAUCCUUUGUUGCCAGCGGUCCGGCCGGGAACUCAAAGGAGACUGCCAGUGAUAAACUGGAGGAAGGUGGGGAUGACGUCAAGUCAUCAUGGCCUUACGACCAGGGCUACCACACGUGCUACAAUGGCGCAUACAAAGAGAAGCGACCUCGCGAGAGCAAGCGGACCUCAUAAAGUGCGUCGUAGUCCGGAUUGGAGUCUGCACUCGACUCCAUGAAGUCGGAAAUCGCUAGUAAUCGUCGUGAGUCAGAAUGCCACGGUGAUACGUUCCCGGGCCUUGUACACACCGCCCGUCACACAUGGGAGUGGGUUGCAAAAGAAGUAGGGUAGCUUAACCUUCGGGGAGGGCGCUUACCACUUUGUGAUUCAUGACUGGGGUGAAGUCGUAACAAGGUAACCGUUAGGGGAACCUGCGGUUG